GGGUGUUUGGUUUAGUGGUAUGAUUAUUGCUUCGGGUGCAAGAGGUUGUGAGUUCGAUUCUCACAACACCCC
Molecule: transfer RNA, 72 nt
Filed under: Ipomoea nil (Japanese morning glory)
Lineage: Eukaryota; Viridiplantae; Streptophyta; Magnoliopsida; Solanales; Convolvulaceae
Rfam family: tRNA
About the family: Transfer RNA (tRNA) molecules are approximately 80 nucleotides in length. Their secondary structure includes four short double-helical elements and three loops (D, anti-codon, and T loops).
Source: Rfam by way of RNAcentral